UGGGGAAUUUUGCACAAUGGGGGGAACCUUGAUGCAGCGACGCCGCGUGAGGGAUGGAGGCCUUCGGGUUGUGAACCUCUUUCGCUCGUGUGCAAGCCGCUAUUUGGGUAGUGGUGAGUGUAGCGGGUAAAGAAGCGCCGGCUAACUACGUGCCAGCAGCCGCGGUAAUAUGUAGGGCGCGAUCGUUGUCCGGAUUUAUUGGGCGUAAAGGGCUUGUAGGCGGUUUGUCGCGCCUGUCGUGUAAUCCUCUGGCUUAACUGGGGGUGUGCGGUAGGUACAGGCAAGCUUGAGUGCGGUAGGGGAGAUUGGAAUUCCUGGUGUAGCGGUGGAAUGCGCAGAUAUCAGGAGGAACACCGGUGGCGAAGGCGGGUCUCUGGGCCGUUACUGACGCUGAGGAGCGAAAGCGUGGGGAGCGAACAGG
Molecule: ribosomal RNA, 421 nt
Filed under: Fusobacteriota bacterium
Lineage: Bacteria; Fusobacteriati; Fusobacteriota
Description: Fusobacteria bacterium partial 16S ribosomal RNA
Rfam family: Bacterial small subunit ribosomal RNA
Source: RNAcentral